Molecule: ribosomal RNA, 449 nt
Filed under: uncultured bacterium
Lineage: Bacteria
Description: partial 16S ribosomal RNA
Rfam family: Bacterial small subunit ribosomal RNA
Source: RNAcentral
AGCGAACGCUGGCGGCAGGCUUAACACAUGCAAGUCGAGCGGGCCCUUCGGGGUCAGCGGCAGACGGGUGAGUAACGCGUGGGAACGUGCCCUUCGGUUCGGAAUAACCCUGGGAAACUAGGGCUAAUACCGGAUACGCCCUUAUGGGGAAAGGUUUACCGCCGAAGGAUCGGCCCGCGUCUGAUUAGCUUGUUGGUGAGGUAACGGCUAACCAAGGCGACGAUCAGUAGCUGGUCUGAGCGGAUGAUCAGCCACACUGGGACUGAGACACGGCCCAGACUCCUACAGGAGGCAGCAGUGGGGAAUAUUGGACAAUGGGGGCAACCCUGAUCCAGCCAUGCCGCGUGAGUGGUGACGGCCUUAGGGUUGUAAAGCUCUUUUACCCGGGACGAUAAUGACGGUACCGGGUGAAUAAGCCCCGGCUAACUUCGUGCCAGCCGCCGCCGUAA